Molecule: long non-coding RNA, 306 nt
Filed under: Lupinus angustifolius (narrow-leaved blue lupine)
Lineage: Eukaryota; Viridiplantae; Streptophyta; Magnoliopsida; Fabales; Fabaceae
Description: long non-coding RNA (LANG_LNC002011)
Source: RNAcentral
UUUUAGUAGGAAAACAACAAUGGUAGUAAAAUAAAGUUAGGAAAUUAUUUUCCCUUCUUUUGUAAUACAAAACGAUAAUGAUUAUAAAGAACAUAGAAUCUUACCUGAGCACUUUAAGAAGCAUGGAGAAGAAAUAACAUCUUAGAGAGGUUAACGUUUUUUUGAAGACCUAGUUGGAUUGAUCAUUAUAUUUGCAGUAGGGUUUGAGGUCCUAAGGGAGAAUGAUAGAUGAGUUCUAAAGAAAAGGAAAGAGGGGGAGUGACUUUUGCUUGUCUUUGUUUCUCACUCUUCCUCUACUGAGUUUAC